CUAAUACCGGAUACUACCCUCGGCGGCAUCGCCAGGGGGUGGAGAAGAAUUUCGGUCAAGGAUGGACUCGCGGCCUAUCAGCUAGUUGGUGAGGUAACGGCUCACCAUGGCUACUACGGGUAGCCGGCCUGAGAGGGUGACCGGCCACACUGGGACUGAGACACGGCCCAGACUCCUACGGGAGGCAGCAGUGGGGAAUAUUGCACAAUGGGCGCGAGCCUGAUGCUCCAACGCCGCGUGAGGGAUGACCGCCUUCAGGUUGUAAACCUCUUUUAGUAGGGAAGAAGCGAUUGUGACGGUACCUGCAGAAAAAGCACCGGCUAACUACGUGCCAGCAGCCGCGGUAAUACGUAGGGUGCAAGCGUUGUCCAGAAUUAUUGUGCGUAUAGAGCUCGUAUGCGGUUUGUCGCGUCUGCUGUGAAAUCCCGAGGCUCAACCUCGGGCCUGCAGUGGGUACGGGCAACCUAGAGUGUGGUAGGGGAGAUUGGAACUCCUGGUGU
This 500-nucleotide ribosomal RNA is filed under the name uncultured bacterium. Its description in RNAcentral is "bacterial SSU rRNA". It matches the Rfam family "Bacterial small subunit ribosomal RNA", at positions 163 to 676 of the family's 1533-position model. The record is from RNAcentral.